RNAcentral lists this ribosomal RNA (774 nucleotides) under uncultured Neocallimastigales. RNAcentral's name for it is "partial large subunit ribosomal RNA". It matches the Rfam family "Eukaryotic large subunit ribosomal RNA", at positions 23 to 616 of the family's 3401-position model. Lineage: Eukaryota; Fungi; Neocallimastigomycota; Neocallimastigomycetes; Neocallimastigales. The record is from RNAcentral.
AGAGAGAGACAUGCGCGCAUAUCAAUAAGCGGAGGAAAAGAAACUAACAAGGAUUCCCCUAGUAACGGCGAGUGAAGCGGGAAGAGCUCAAAUUUGAAAUCUUAAAGGGUUUCCCUUUACGAAUUGUAGUUUAAAGAAGUGUUUUCUGUUGAGGUUUUGGUAAAAGUUCUUUGGAAUAGGACAUCAUAGAGGGUGAGAAUCCCGUAUUCGACCUUUACUUUCAACUUUGUGAUACACUUUCAAAGAGUCGGAUUGUUUGGGAAUGCAGUCCAAAAUGGGUGGUAAAUUUCAUCUAAAGCUAAAUAUUGGCGAGAGACCGAUAGCGAACAAGUACCGUGAGGGAAAGAUGAAAAGAACUUUGAAAAGAGAGUUAAACAGUACGUGAAAUUGUCAAAAGGGAAGCGUUUGACACCAGUGUUGUUUUUCUGAAAAUCAAUUAAAGAACUGUUUAUGCUAAGCUGUUUAGACUUUAUCAGCUAACUGUUUAGUUUUGAGCUUUUCUUUAAUGCACUUUUCAGUUAACAAGUCAACAUCAACUUCUUUUGCUGUAAGAAAGCUUGAGGAAGGUGGCUUGAGAUUCGUCUUAAGUGUUUAUAGCCUCUUGCCUAUGCAGUCGGAGAGAUUGAGGUCUGCAGCGUAGAUCCUUCGGGGCUAAAUGCAUUUGUGCUAAGUUAUAGCAUUUUAUAGACAACUUGUUGACUAUGAUUUGUCUUGUAGCUUACUCGCUUAUGUUAUUUUACCUACGCUUAGGAUGUUGAGCGCAUGUCUCUCUCU